ACCUACGGGGGGCAGCAGUGGGGAAUCUUGCACAAUGGGGGAAACCCUGAUGCAGCGACGCCGCGUGAGCGAUGAAGCCCUUCGGGGUGUAAAGCUCUUUCGGCAGGAACGAUUAUGACGGUACCUGCAGAAGAAGCUGCGGCUAACUACGUGCCAGCAGCCGCGGUAAUACGUAGGCAGCAAGCGUUGUUCGGAGUUACUGGGCGUAAAGAGUGUGUAGGCGGUUUGCCAAGUUCGGUGUGAAAUCUCCCGGCUUAACUGGGAGGGUGCGCCGAAAACUGGCAGGCUUGAGUGCGGGGGAGGAGAGCGGAAUUCCUGGUGUAGCGGUGAAAUGCGUAGAGAUCAGGAGGAACACCUGCGGUGUAGACGGCUCUCUGGACCGCAACUGACGCUGAGACACGAAAGCGUGGGUAGCAAACAGGAUUAGAUACCCUGGUAGUC
RNAcentral lists this ribosomal RNA (441 nucleotides) under uncultured Bryobacterales bacterium. Its description in RNAcentral is "bacterial SSU rRNA". It matches the Rfam family "Bacterial small subunit ribosomal RNA", at positions 337 to 795 of the family's 1533-position model. The record is from RNAcentral. Lineage: Bacteria; Pseudomonadati; Acidobacteriota; Terriglobia; Bryobacterales.